This 216-nucleotide ribosomal RNA is filed under the name Glomeromycotina sp. Its description in RNAcentral is "partial small subunit ribosomal RNA". The stretch from base 40 to 216 matches the Rfam family "Eukaryotic small subunit ribosomal RNA", at positions 686 to 864 of the family's 1831-position model. The record is from RNAcentral. Lineage: Eukaryota; Fungi; Glomeromycota.
GGGUCAGUAGGUUGGUCGUGCCACCGGUACGUACUGGUCUCACUGAUUCCUCCUUCCUGAAGAACCGUAAUGCCAUUAAUUUGGUGUUGCGGGGAAACAGGACUGUUACUUUGAAAAACUUAGAGUGUUUAAAGCAAGCUAACGCUUGAAUACAUUAGCAUGGAAUAAUGAAAUAGGACGAUCGAUCCUAUUUUGUUGGUUUCUAGGAUUGACGUA